AAUAGCUCUGGCUGCUGCUCUGCAGCAUCCUCUGUCCUCGCGUUACGUGAUGUGUUACAGUUGGAUCGGGCCCCUGCUCCUGGCAUCAUGGAUAAACAAGCAGGGCUGAAUGUGUUGGUAUCAGGUGUUGCCUGGGCUGAAACCUGGUUGACAUCAACACUGUUAGCGGUUAGGUUCCACGUGAGCAGCUUGACAGCAGCUGACGGCGUCUGACCCACAAACAGUGCAUCAACGCGUCACACGUCCCGGUUCUGGUCUCCACAGAUAAGCUCUAACGUCACUGGUGCCGCUUGGUGUCAGUUUGACCGGACUGGCCUCUGACUCCAGCCGCUCACUGGCCUGAAGGAUCCGGCGUAGCCUUACCUUCUGCGGCGGGUGCUAAUCUGAGCUGCUGUGUCACAACAUGAACAAAGCUCAGAAUGGACUGGCAGCAGGUACAUCUGUCAGAAGGAGGACUGACGGACGUUCACUGCACAGGCGGCUCUUUGUUUGGAGCCCUUCUACAGGAUGGACCCCGCUUCCACAGCUACAGAUUAUAUUGUAUAGAGUAUUUGCUCACCUUUCCCCAAGCUGGGCGUGGACUGCUGCUUGCAGAGUGGAAUGUCUCGUCUCUUCAUCUUGAUCUGCUCCAACAGAAAGGACCGACGUCUUCUGAGCUGGUGGAUGUAGAAGCUCUUUAUUAUAGUGACACAUUUUAUCUUGUGGAUUAGCAAAAUAAAGUACAAAUGCAAACACUG
Molecule: long non-coding RNA, 737 nt
Organism: Betta splendens (Siamese fighting fish)
Lineage: Eukaryota; Metazoa; Chordata; Actinopteri; Anabantiformes; Osphronemidae
Exons: 2
Source: RefSeq, a predicted model, not a curated record